AUGAGCAGCCUCCGCCUCCGCCGCCGCCCCCACUCGCCGGCGGCAUCCCCGCUGGAGGACGACGACCUGCUCUCCGAGAUCCUGCUCCGCCUCCCCCCGCAGCCUUCCUCCCUCCCCCGCGCAUCCCUCGUCUGCAAGAGCUGGCGCCGCCUCGUCUCAGAUCCCCAAUUCCGACGCCGCUUCCGCCUCCGCCACCGCCGCAACCCUCCUCUCCUCGGCUUCUUCGACCGAUUUGAUGGCCUCUUCUUCCAUCCUACCCUGGACGCCCCUGACCGUGUUCCUCUUGGGCGCUUCCCCUUGCAGCGCGACGACGGCGACUACUUCGUCUCCCUCGGAUGCCGCCAUGGCCUCCUACUCAUCUUCCUUCCGGAGCGUCUCUAG
RNAcentral lists this ribosomal RNA (381 nucleotides) under Triticum aestivum (bread wheat). RNAcentral's name for it is "partial small subunit ribosomal RNA". The record is from RNAcentral. Lineage: Eukaryota; Viridiplantae; Streptophyta; Magnoliopsida; Poales; Poaceae.